Molecule: long non-coding RNA, 742 nt
Organism: Triticum dicoccoides
Lineage: Eukaryota; Viridiplantae; Streptophyta; Magnoliopsida; Poales; Poaceae
Exons: 2
Source: RefSeq, a predicted model, not a curated record
AGUAAAUGUUUUGGGGGAGGUUUGCUUAGUUAUUACGUCAGCGAAGCCGAUCCCAGAAAAAAAAUACUAUUCACCGGAGCAACCGACUUCUCUCCUCCUCCUCCUCCUCCUCGCCUCCACCCCCUGCAGAGCCACCAGCGAGCGAGCCCCAGGAGCGAGCAUGGCGGACGUCGAUGCUUUCGGCCGCGGGUACUUCGACUGCGGGUGGGCUUGCGGCCUGCCCGCCGACCACUAUCUGCCAGGCUUCAUCGAGAAGCACAUAGGCCGACAUGUGAGGGCGGAUGAGCAGGCAGCAGCAGCCGCGGCGGCGGCAGCGGUAGAUCAGGCAGCGGUCGAGGCACCAGCUCGCCGCCGGCGCAGAGGCAGACGACGCCGCGCCAGAGGCGGCCGCUCGUGACGUAUGGAUCGUAGAAGCAGGGUCGCAACUGAUCGACAGGGGACCUGCCAAGAUUAAUCAAAGGGCACAUAAAGAACAUCGUGUGAAGUAGAUCGAAAUCAGCCAUUCGUCGUAUUCUUUGUUAUCGUACAAAACUUGUCUCGUUUCUGCUACGUUUCUCAUACAAAUUGUCUAUUUUUUGUUAUACAUAAAGAACAUCGUGCGAAAUAGAUCAAAAUCAGCUAUUCAUCAAAUUCUUUGUCGUCAUACAAACGUGUCUUGUUUCUGCUACGUUUGUCAUACAACUUGUCUCUGGAACUCUGCAUGUACAAAUGGGAAACUGGCUUGUUCCAGCUUUGACAAAUC